Molecule: long non-coding RNA, 240 nt
Filed under: Mytilus galloprovincialis (Mediterranean mussel)
Lineage: Eukaryota; Metazoa; Mollusca; Bivalvia; Mytilida; Mytilidae
Source: RNAcentral
GUUCGUUUCUGUGUGUGUUGCAUUUUAACGUUGAGUCGUUUGUGUUUUCUCUUAUUUUUGAGAUAAGACGUGGCACGGUACUUGUCUAUCCCAAAUUCAUGUAUUUGGUUUUGAUGUUAUAUUUGUUAUUCUCGUGGUGUUUUGUCUGUUGCUUGGUCCGUUUCUGUGUGUGUUGCGUUUCGGUGUUGUGUCGUUGUUCUCCUCUUAUAUUUAAUGUGUUUCCCUCGGUUUUAGUUUGUU